RNAcentral lists this ribosomal RNA (253 nucleotides) under uncultured bacterium. RNAcentral's name for it is "partial 16S ribosomal RNA". It matches the Rfam family "Bacterial small subunit ribosomal RNA", at positions 524 to 776 of the family's 1533-position model. The record is from RNAcentral.
UACAGAGGGUGCGAACGUUGCUCGGAAUCACUGGGCGUAAAGCGCGUGUAGGCGGAUCAGAAAGUCAGGUGUGAAAUCCCUGGGCUCAACCUAGGAACUGCAUCUGAAACUUCUGGUCUGGAGUGUCGGAGAGGGAAGCGGAAUUCCGGGUGUAGAGGUGAAAUUCGUAGAUAUCCGGAGGAACACCGGUGGCGAAGGCGGCUUCCUGGACGACUACUGACGCUGAGACGCGAAAGCGUGGGGAGCAAACAGG